Molecule: ribosomal RNA, 1556 nt
Filed under: Salmonella enterica subsp. enterica serovar Weltevreden str. 1655
Lineage: Bacteria; Pseudomonadati; Pseudomonadota; Gammaproteobacteria; Enterobacterales; Enterobacteriaceae
Description: bacterial SSU rRNA
Rfam family: Bacterial small subunit ribosomal RNA
Source: RNAcentral
UUAAAUUGAAGAGUUUGAUCAUGGCUCAGAUUGAACGCUGGCGGCAGGCCUAACACAUGCAAGUCGAACGGUAACAGGAAGCAGCUUGCUGCUUUGCUGACGAGUGGCGGACGGGUGAGUAAUGUCUGGGAAACUGCCUGAUGGAGGGGGAUAACUACUGGAAACGGUGGCUAAUACCGCAUAACGUCGCAAGACCAAAGAGGGGGACCUUCGGGCCUCUUGCCAUCAGAUGUGCCCAGAUGGGAUUAGCUAGUUGGUGAGGUAACGGCUCACCAAGGCGACGAUCCCUAGCUGGUCUGAGAGGAUGACCAGCCACACUGGAACUGAGACACGGUCCAGACUCCUACGGGAGGCAGCAGUGGGGAAUAUUGCACAAUGGGCGCAAGCCUGAUGCAGCCAUGCCGCGUGUAUGAAGAAGGCCUUCGGGUUGUAAAGUACUUUCAGCGGGGAGGAAGGUGUUGUGGUUAAUAACCGCAGCAAUUGACGUUACCCGCAGAAGAAGCACCGGCUAACUCCGUGCCAGCAGCCGCGGUAAUACGGAGGGUGCAAGCGUUAAUCGGAAUUACUGGGCGUAAAGCGCACGCAGGCGGUCUGUCAAGUCGGAUGUGAAAUCCCCGGGCUCAACCUGGGAACUGCAUUCGAAACUGGCAGGCUUGAGUCUUGUAGAGGGGGGUAGAAUUCCAGGUGUAGCGGUGAAAUGCGUAGAGAUCUGGAGGAAUACCGGUGGCGAAGGCGGCUCCCUGGACAAAGACUGACGCUCAGGUGCGAAAGCGUGGGGAGCAAACAGGAUUAGAUACCCUGGUAGUCCACGCCGUAAACGAUGUCUACUUGGAGGUUGUGCCCUUGAGGCGUGGCUUCCGGAGCUAACGCGUUAAGUAGACCGCCUGGGGAGUACGGCCGCAAGGUUAAAACUCAAAUGAAUUGACGGGGGCCCGCACAAGCGGUGGAGCAUGUGGUUUAAUUCGAUGCAACGCGAAGAACCUUACCUGGUCUUGACAUCCACGGAAGUUUUCAGAGAUGAGAAUGUGCCUUCGGGAACCGUGAGACAGGUGCUGCAUGGCUGUCGUCAGCUCGUGUUGUGAAAUGUUGGGUUAAGUCCCGCAACGAGCGCAACCCUUAUCCUUUGUUGCCAGCGAUUAGGUCGGGAACUCAAAGGAGACUGCCAGUGAUAAACUGGAGGAAGGUGGGGAUGACGUCAAGUCAUCAUGGCCCUUACGACCAGGGCUACACACGUGCUACAAUGGCGCAUACAAAGAGAAGCGACCUCGCGAGAGCAAGCGGACCUCAUAAAGUGCGUCGUAGUCCGGAUUGGAGUCUGCAACUCGACUCCAUGAAGUCGGAAUCGCUAGUAAUCGUGGAUCAGAAUGCCACGGUGAAUACGUUCCCGGGCCUUGUACACACCGCCCGUCACACCAUGGGAGUGGGUUGCAAAAGAAGUAGGUAGCUUAACCUUCGGGAGGGCGCUUACCACUUUGUGAUUCAUGACUGGGGUGAAGUCGUAACAAGGUAACCGUAGGGGAACCUGCGGUUGGAUCACCUCCUUACCUUAAAGAAGC